GACGAACGCUGGCGGCGUGCUUAACACAUGCAAGUCGAGCGGUAAGGCCCUUUCGGAGGUACACGAGCGGCGAACGGGUGAGUAACACGUGGGUGACCUGCCCUCAGCUCUGGGAUAAGCCUGGGAAACCGGGUCUAAUACCGGAUAUGACUCCAUGACGCAUGUUGUGGGGUGGAAAGCCUUGUGCGGCUGAGGAUGGGCCCGCGGCCUAUCAGCUUGUUGGUGGGGUGAUGGCCUACCAAGGCGACGACGGGUAGCCGGCCUGAGAGGGCGACCGGCCACACUGGGACUGAGACACGGCCCAGACUCCUACGGGAGGCAGCAGUGGGGAAUCUUGCGCAAUGGGCGAAAGCCUGACGCAGCGACGCC
This 369-nucleotide ribosomal RNA is filed under the name uncultured bacterium. RNAcentral describes it as "bacterial SSU rRNA". It matches the Rfam family "Bacterial small subunit ribosomal RNA", at positions 28 to 398 of the family's 1533-position model. The record is from RNAcentral.